GUUUCAGCCGCCGCGGUAAGACGGAGGGGGCUAGCGUUGUUCGGAAUUACUGGGCGUAAAGCGUGCGUAGGCGGCCUUUCAAGUUGGGUGUGAAAGCCCGGGGCUUAACCCCGGAAAUGCGCCCAAGACUGUUUGGCUAGAGACCGGGAGAGGUGAGUGGAACUCCCAGUGUAGAGGUGAAAUUCGUAGAUAUUGGGAAGAACACCAGUGGCGAAGGCGGCUCACUGGACCGGUACUGACGCUGAGGCACGAAAGCGUGGGGAGCAAACAGGAUUAGAUACCCUCGUAGUCC
This 292-nucleotide ribosomal RNA is filed under the name uncultured bacterium. RNAcentral's name for it is "partial 16S ribosomal RNA". It matches the Rfam family "Bacterial small subunit ribosomal RNA", at positions 505 to 796 of the family's 1533-position model. The record is from RNAcentral.